CGAAAACCUAACUACACUCUAACCUCCUCUCCCUCUCGCCGCCACCUCCCCUUCCCCACUUUUCUACUUUAUUCUUUAACCAUGGCUAAACUAAGGAGACCGAUAAUGACAAAGAAGAGCGAGAGAAAACCCAAUCGCUUCUCAAUUCUCGGACAGAAGAGGUAAGCUCAUAUCUCUAUAUUUUAGAGAUUGUAAAUCUUUUUAUACCUACUUCACUUGGAUUUUUGGGUACAAUUUUGUGAAUUAUUCCGGCAAUUUGAUAGAUAUUGUAUCUUAUUUUUGAUUAGUGAUUGAGAAUUUGAACAGAAAAACAAUAUUACAAAAUUGGGAUGAAGAUAAUUUAAUGGCGUAACUGGUAAAGUUGUCUUCAUGUGACCGGAAGGUCACGAGUUCGAGCCAUGGAAACAACCUAUUGCAGAAAUGUAGGGUAAGAUCGAUAUACUCUUGUCGUUCGGCCUUUCCUUGGACUCCGCACAUAGUGGUAGUUUAGUGCACCAGGCAUCCUUUUGGGAUGAAGAUAACUUAAGUUGUUUAAAAAGUGUUCAAAAUUUUCUUUUUUACUUCUUUUGUUUCUUUGUGUUUUUUCAUGUUGUUAUCCGUUAGAAAUUCUUGUAAAAUAUUUAUCAAGACAUGUUUGUUGUCUGCUUGAAAUUAUUCUAUUAAUGUUUUUACUAAUUGAACUUACAUCUUUGUGUUAAAGUUUCAAUUCAGUUGUAUCUGUUAAACAUAUAUGAUCAUUUAUUUUUGCUUCAUGGUGUUAAUUUUUUUUUUUUUUUUGACAGGUAAAUUGGUGGAGUUAGAGCAAUGAAUAAUUAAAGACCAAGAUAAGGUGCAGUUGAAGAUCCGAGGAGGAGUAAAAGAAGAAACGGUGUCUCAAGCAAGAUGGUGUUGUAGAAAAAUUGUGCAUCGUGAAUGCUUUGAAAUUUGCAAUUAUGUGUAACUUGAAACCUAUUGUGAAAUGUAAAUUCUUUUUAUUCGUAGCUACUUUAUUAAAAGCUUAUGUGUAACUUUGAAUUUAUUUUGGAAUCUAAAAUAUUUAGAAUUUUAGCUAUUAUGAAAAAUAUUGUAACUAGUUAUUCUUGUAGCAAGUUCUUUAAUUUGUGGCAAUAAAAGUUUGAAUUCGUG
Molecule: long non-coding RNA, 1125 nt
Filed under: Nicotiana tabacum (common tobacco)
Lineage: Eukaryota; Viridiplantae; Streptophyta; Magnoliopsida; Solanales; Solanaceae
Description: long non-coding RNA (NTAB_LNC004964)
Source: RNAcentral